GCCGAAGGAAGAGAAGAAAGUGACGGGAGCCCGCUGCUGUGCUGCAGCUGCCGUCCACCACUCCAUGGAAGGCUGAUCUCCUCUCUAGGGCUGGAUGCAGCCCUAAUAAAGGGACACGGGUUUUAUAUUUUAUUUUAUAUUCUUGGAGUUGUAUGAACUUAUUAUUUUUAAUGAAUAUCUUCUUUUAUUUAAUUUUUAAUUUCUGUGAUUUUAAAUGUGAAGUUUAUACAACUGUUCUUCAUGAUCAUUAAGUAAAUAUAAGAUAGUCCAUGCUUAGGGAAGAUGCGAUGUGCUGCCACCUUAGAUUAGGGUAGACAUUUCAUGCCAACUGAAGAUGGAUUAUGCCUAAAUUAUUUUUAUGAAUUUCUAUUCGAAUGGUUAAUGGCUUGUAGCCAAUUUGCAUGUUAAUCCAAGAACGAAAUAAAUUAUAAAUAACCCUUGUUCCGAUGUUAGUGGUGAAUUCCUUGCCCUAGGUUUCCCCCAAACUGAUAUCAUUUUAAUUGCAUUUCUCUUAAAUUAUUUAGUUCAAUAGUCUUCCUAAACUUUCUUUUUAAAUAUUUUUUUUAAGAAAACAACUGUACCCCAAUCCCUGUGGAUCGAUACCCGUAAUCACUAUCCUACUAGAUACGUGCUAUUGCGUGGUCUUUAAAGUUGACUAUCAAUUUUUGGCGCCAUUGCCGGAAAUUGUUAGCAUAGUUGUUUUUCUUUUCAUUUAAAAAAAACUUUCAAAAAAUAAUAAUAAUAAUAUAUAUAUAUCUAAAAUAAAAUAAAAAUAUUUUCUAUUUUUGUUACUUUUCUUAUCUCCUUUCUCUCUCUUACUAAUUUUUGAUUUUUUUUAUCAGGAAUCGAAAAAGAAAUUUGGGACGAUCAAAAGGGAACUGCUGAAAAAGGAAUGCUGUAGAGGUUUGCCUAAAAAAAAAUAAAUAUAAAAAAAUUGCUAGGAAAAUUCUCUUUGGUAACCUCUAAACCUUUCUUAUUUAAAUUAAUUCUCAAUUACCUUGAAAUUUUGUGGUGAUUGUUUGAUUUUAAUUUCAGCAAAAGUGUGAAUGCAUGCUUGAUACACAUACACCAAUUAAUCCGCACAUAGUAAGGGCAAUCACCCCAACAAGAUAAGAACUGAAUUUCAUCACCAGAUUCUUGCCCAAAUUAGGUGAAUCAAUUCUCACAUAGCCAUCACGUUAAUUAAAAUCAAUUAGACGUUGGCAUCUAGGGAUAUUCAAGCUCAAUAGGACGAAGAUCACCAAAAGUUGCACCAAUUUUGCUCUGUGACUCAGUUGAUAUCUAGGCAAGCUUUGUCCCUUUAAGGGAGAUAGUUCAUCUGUUCGAGGCAAGUGGUUUUUAAGUAGAACCUUUGCGAACGCAUCGUGACCCCCCCACUUAUCUGGGAGCUUACCUGGUCAACUAAGUUCAUUAGACCGGAUUGGAGGCUUAGGUGCCCUCUUCAAACCAGUUAGGAGCUGUCUAGUGAUUUUAGGGCAAAUACAAGGAUUUGAUGUGUUUUUCUUUUAGUGCAUGCUUGACUGUACGUGACUGAUCCGAAAAGUAUUGGUGCAUGCUAGGGUGUCGUUCCAGAUCUCCUGAACUAUUACCUUUUGACCCUAAAAUAGAACAGACCCUUAGAAAUAUUCGAGCUGACAUCAGAACAUUAGAAUCAACUAUACCCGGUAUGAUUUGAUAAGGAUGCGCGGCGUCUGGCUGAAGACGUUAAACUUAGCGCUUGUUGGAAGGUAACCCAAUUUUCGUAGGUCAUUUUUGCAUUUUUUUUUGCAUUUUUUUAUUGCAUUAACAGGAUCCCUCAUAUUACUGAUGCAAUUACGGUAAAAUGCUUCUAUCCUCCAUAUGCAUCAUAUUUUCGUCCAAACUAAAAUAAAAAAAUAAAAAAUAUAAAAAAUAUAUAAUAAUAUAAUAUUCAUCUCAAAAAAAAAUAUUGAGGACAAUGUCUGAUCUAGGUUGGGGGGUAUAAGAUUCGAAUUUUAUAAGAAAUUUUUUGCAUUUUCGCAUUAUUGAAUAAGUUUUUCGGAAAAAAAAUGCAUUUUCGCAUUAUUGAAUAAGUUUUUCGAAAAAAAAAACGAACCUAAUUUCUAUGCCUUAGUGCUGAAAUGAUAAAUGUACAAAGUAUAUAAAAUCUAAAAAGCCCAAUGACUAGUCAGAAGUAAGACAAUUUGAGUUCUUUUUAUUAAAAGUUCUUUUAGCGAGUUGUAAGAUAAUUUUUACUUUGGAAUUUCACAACACACAUGGCCUGCACUUCUAAGGGUUAGGUUCAACAUUAUGUUGUUAAGUCUGGUAGCAACUUUGAGUCCUGAUGAAUCAUACCUAUCUAAUUCACUAUUAUCUUCUGAAAUAAAUAAAUAAAUAAAUAAAAAGAGAAAAAAAAAGAGUGAAUUUAGUCAGGUACAUCGAAAAGGGCUACCUAUUGUCAAAGGUCAGCGGACUUGUGAUGAUGAACCCGAGCAUAGGUCCAUAGGGGAGUCUUGAUGCCCAACACCUUAUGCCAUCUGGUGUGGAAGUUGUUGACUGAAUGCUCGCUACACGGAGGAAUCAUUACAAGAGUAAAAGUGCAUAAUUUAUAAAUCUCAAAAAAAAACAGAGAAAGAGAAAAUAAUAUUGACCUUGAAAAAAGACGAUAGUGUGAAAGCCGUCGUUGUAAAAAUUCGAGUAAACUGAAAUAUUACAGAUAAAGCCCAUGAGGUAUUAAAGUAAACAUCCACAACUCUCGAAAUCCUGCAAGAUAGGAUGAUUUUGAAUCAGUGAAUAGGUCUUAUCUGACCAAUUCUUGGAAACUACUAGCUUUAGCAGUAUUUUGGGGAGUCCAAAACCUUAGUUUGUGUAUGGUCUAGAUAUCACCAAGCACCCAAGUAUAAAUACGCCUUACAACUCCCUAACGAAAACUUAAUAACUUCAACUUAAAUUGCAUACUGACCUAGGAUUUGGGCUGACUUAGUAAUUAAAACUUUGUGUGCUUUUGAAAUUCUUGGCACUUAUACAUUUAAAAUUAGUUUUUAUAAAACGAUAAAAAAAAAUUCUUUUGGGUAGAGACAGCAGUUUGUGGGUAUCUGAGCCGGAAACCCUCACGAGACAAAACUCGUCCACUAGGGCCACCUAGGGGUUUAAAGCCUUAUUGCAUACGGUAAAUGCAAUCGCGAUUCCUGCGAAAGUGAAUUAGUUUUUUUUUAUUAUUUUGCUCGAGGACUAGCAAAAUGUAGGUUGGGGGGUGUGAUAAGUGCUAAAUAAUGCAUAAAUUAAUAUCUUAUUCAUAGCACUUAUCAUUAUUUUAAUUCACAUAUUUUGUAAAUUCAACUAAAAAAAUGUGUUACCUUCAUCACUGCAUUUUAAUAAAUUAUUAAAGAUAAUUGGAGUUUUACUUAUUUAUUUACUGAUUAAGCUUAAUAUAUGCAGAUCGAGUCAAGCUUAAUUCGGUAAAGCCUAAACUGAC
This 3433-nucleotide long non-coding RNA is filed under the name Phoenix dactylifera (date palm). Its description in RNAcentral is "long non-coding RNA (PDAC_LNC011239)". Lineage: Eukaryota; Viridiplantae; Streptophyta; Magnoliopsida; Arecales; Arecaceae. The record is from RNAcentral.